This 373-nucleotide ribosomal RNA is filed under the name uncultured organism. Its description in RNAcentral is "bacterial SSU rRNA". It matches the Rfam family "Bacterial small subunit ribosomal RNA", at positions 526 to 897 of the family's 1533-position model. The record is from RNAcentral.
CGUAGGUGGCAAGCGUUGUCCGGAAUUAUUGGGCGUAAAGCGCGCGCAGGCGGUUCCUUAAGUCUGAUGUGAAAGCCCCCGGCUCAACCGGGGAAGGUCAUUGGAAACUGGGGAACUUGAGUGCAGAAGAGAAGAGCGGAAUUCCACGUGUAGCGGUGAAAUGCGUAGAGAUGUGGAGGAACACCAGUGGCGAAGGCGGCUCUUUGGUCUGUAACUGACGCUGAGGCGCGAAAGCGUGGGGAGCAAACAGGAUUAGAUACCCUGGUAGUCCACGCCGUAAACGAUGAGUGCUAAGUGUUAGAGGGUUUCCGCCCUUUAGUGCUGCAGCUAACGCAUUAAGCACUCCGCCUGGGGAGUACGGCCGCAAGGCUGG